UAACAAAUUGCUUAACUUAUAGCAAAGCAUUGCAGAUGCUUUCAUGGUUGUAUAACCUUUUUUAG
Molecule: transfer RNA, 65 nt
Filed under: Physella acuta
Lineage: Eukaryota; Metazoa; Mollusca; Gastropoda; Physidae
Description: transfert RNA-C(TGC)
Source: RNAcentral